RNAcentral lists this ribosomal RNA (2889 nucleotides) under Acinetobacter baumannii 26016_7. RNAcentral describes it as "bacterial LSU rRNA". It matches the Rfam family "Bacterial large subunit ribosomal RNA". The record is from RNAcentral. Lineage: Bacteria; Pseudomonadati; Pseudomonadota; Gammaproteobacteria; Moraxellales; Moraxellaceae.
CAAGUAAUUAAGUGCAUGUGGUGGAUGCCUUGGCAGUCAGAGGCGAUGAAAGACGUGAUAGCCUGCGAAAAGCUCCGGGGAGGCGGCAAAUAUCCUUUGAUCCGGAGAUGUCUGAAUGGGGGAACCCACCUACUUUAAGGUAGGUAUUGCAACAUGAAUACAUAGUGUUGCAAGGCGAACGAGGGGAAGUGAAACAUCUCAGUACCCUUAGGAAAAGAAAUCAAUUGAGAUUCCCUCAGUAGCGGCGAGCGAACGGGGAUCAGCCCAUUAAGUUAUGUGUGUUUUAGUGGAACGCUCUGGGAAGUGCGAACGUAGAGGGUGAUAUUCCCGUACACGAAAGGGCACACAUAAUGAUGACGAGUAGGGCGAGGCACGUGAAACCUUGUCUGAAUAUGGGGGGACCAUCCUCCAAGGCUAAAUACUCCUGACUGACCGAUAGUGAACCAGUACCGUGAGGGAAAGGCGAAAAGAACCCCUGUGAGGGGAGUGAAAUAGAUCCUGAAACCGCAUGCAUACAAGCAGUGGGAGCACCUUCGUGGUGUGACUGCGUACCUUUUGUAUAAUGGGUCAGCGACUUAUAUUCAGUAGCGAGGUUAACCGUAUAGGGGAGCCGUAGAGAAAUCGAGUCUUAAUAGGGCGUUUAGUUGCUGGGUAUAGACCCGAAACCAGGCGAUCUAUCCAUGAGCAGGUUGAAGGUUGGGUAACACUAACUGGAGGACCGAACCCACUGUCGUUGAAAAGCCAGGGGAUGACUUGUGGAUAGGGGUGAAAGGCUAAUCAAGCCUGGUGAUAGCUGGUUCUCCCCGAAAGCUAUUUAGGUAGCGCCUCGGACGAAUACCAUAGGGGGUAGAGCACUGUUUCGGCUAGGGGGUCAUCCCGACUUACCAAACCGAUGCAAACUCCGAAUACCUAUGAGUACUAUCCGGGAGACAGACUGCGGGUGCUAACGUCCGUAGUCAAGAGGAAAACAAUCCAGACCGCCAGCUAAGGCCCCAAAAUCAUAGUUAAGUGGGAAACGAUGUGGGAAGGCAUAGACAGCUAGGAGGUUGGCUUAGAAGCAGCCACCCUUUAAAGAAAGCGUAAUAGCUCACUAGUCGAGUCGGCCUGCGCGGAAGAUGUAACGGGGCUAAAACUAUGUGCCGAAGCUGCGGAUGUAUACUUUGUAUACGUGGUAGGGGAGCGUUCUGUAAGCCGAUGAAGGUGUGUUGAGAAGCAUGCUGGAGGUAUCAGAAGUGCGAAUGCUGACGUGAGUAACGACAAAACGGGUGAAAAACCCGUUCGCCGAAAGACCAAGGGUUCCAGUCCAACGUUAAUCGGGGCUGGGUGAGUCGACCCCUAAGGCGAGGCCGAAAGGCGUAGUCGAUGGGAAAAUGGUUAAUAUUCCAUUACUUCUGUGUAAUGCGAUGAGAGGACGGAGAAGGCUAAAUCAGCCUGGCGUUGGUUGUCCAGGUGAAAGGAUGUAGGCAUGUAUCUUAGGCAAAUCCGGGGUACUCUAUGCUGAGAUCUGAUAGCAAGCUGUACUUGUACAGCGAAGUGGUUGAUGCCAUGCUUCCAGGAAAAGUCUCUAAGCUUCAGUUACACAGGAAUCGUACCCGAAACCGACACAGGUGGUCAGGUCGAGUAGACCAAGGCGCUUGAGAGAACUCUGCUGAAGGAACUAGGCAAAAUGGUACCGUAACUUCGGGAGAAGGUACGCUGUUGUUGGUGAUGGAACUCGCUUCCUGAGCUGACGACAGCCGCAGAAACCAGGCCGCUGCAACUGUUUAUUAAAAACAUAGCACUCUGCAAACACGAAAGUGGACGUAUAGGGUGUGAUGCCUGCCCGGUGCUGGAAGGUUAAUUGAUGGGGUUAGCGUAAGCGAAGCUCUUGAUCGAAGCCCCAGUAAACGGCGGCCGUAACUAUAACGGUCCUAAGGUAGCGAAAUUCCUUGUCGGGUAAGUUCCGACCUGCACGAAUGGCAUAAUGAUGGCGGCGCUGUCUCCAGCAGAGGCUCAGUGAAAUCGAAAUCGCUGUGAAGAUGCAGUGUACCCGCGGCUAGACGGAAAGACCCCGUGAACCUUUACUGCAGCUUGACACUGAACUUUGACCUUACUUGUGUAGGAUAGGUGGGAGGCUUUGAAGCUGGAACGCUAGUUCCAGUGGAGCCGUCCUUGAAAUACCACCCUGGUAAUGUUGAGGUUCUAACUCUGUCCCGUGAUCCGGGACGAGGACCGUGUCUGGUGGGUAGUUUGACUGGGGCGGUCUCCUCCUAAAGAGUAACGGAGGAGUACGAAGGUGCGCUCAGCGUGGUCGGAAAUCACGCGUAGAGUAUAAAGGCAAAAGCGCGCUUAACUGCGAGACCCACAAGUCGAGCAGGUACGAAAGUAGGUCUUAGUGAUCCGGUGGUUCUGUAUGGAAGGGCCAUCGCUCAACGGAUAAAAGGUACUCUGGGGAUAACAGGCUGAUACCGCCCAAGAGUUCAUAUCGACGGCGGUGUUUGGCACCUCGAUGUCGGCUCAUCUCAUCCUGGGGCUGAAGCAGGUCCCAAGGGUAUGGCUGUUCGCCAUUUAAAGAGGUACGCGAGCUGGGUUUAGAACGUCGUGAGACAGUUCGGUCCCUAUCUACCGUGGGCGCUGGAAAUUUGAGAGGAUCUGCUCCUAGUACGAGAGGACCAGAGUGGACGAACCUCUGGUGUACCGGUUGUGACGCCAGUUGCAUCGCCGGGUAGCUAUGUUCGGAAGGGAUAACCGCUGAAAGCAUCUAAGCGGGAAGCCUACCUCAAGAUAAGAUUUCCCUAGGACUUUAUGUCCUCUAAAGAGCCGUUCGAGACUAGGACGUUGAUAGGUUGGAUGUGGAAGCAUAGUGAUAUGUGAAGCUGACCAAUACUAAUUGCUCGUGAGGCUUGACUA